RNAcentral lists this transfer RNA (85 nucleotides) under Felis catus (domestic cat). It matches the Rfam family "tRNA". From Rfam's summary of the family: Transfer RNA (tRNA) molecules are approximately 80 nucleotides in length. Their secondary structure includes four short double-helical elements and three loops (D, anti-codon, and T loops). RNAcentral also lists the same sequence under 2 other names. The record is from Rfam by way of RNAcentral. Lineage: Eukaryota; Metazoa; Chordata; Mammalia; Carnivora; Felidae.
GCCUGGGUGGCUCAGUCGGUUGAGCAUCCGACUUCAGCUCAGGUCAUGAUCUCGCAGUUUGUGGGUUCGAGCCCCGCGUUGGGCU